CUUGGUUGGUGAGAUGAAACGGUCAUUGGAUCAGCCAAAUUUUCAUCUUUUUCCUCUAUGAUACAUCUAUGGGCAAGAUACAUAGAUGAUAUUCUAACUGUAUGGAAAGGCACAUCCAAUGACUUUGAUCGUUUUGUGAAUCUUCUAAACGAAAAUAAUUUUAAUUUAAGAUUUACCUCUGAAUUUGGUGGAAAAGCCCUUAAUUUUCUGGACUUGACAAUUUCAAUUGAUAGUUGUAGGUCCAUUCGGACUACACUCUUUAGAAAG
Pelobates cultripes (western spadefoot toad) is the source of this 267-nucleotide non-coding RNA. NCBI's taxonomy places the organism in Eukaryota, Metazoa, Chordata, Amphibia, Anura, Pelobatidae. The record is from the annotation of a GenBank genome assembly.